GAUGAAGAACGCAGCGAAAUGCGAUAAGUAAUGUGAAUUGCAGAAUUCAGUGAAUCAUCGAAUCUUUGAACGCACAUUGCGCCCGCCAGUAUUCUGGCGGGCAUGCCUGUUCGAGCGUCAUUUCAACCAUCAAGCCCCAGGCUUGUGUUGGGGACCUGCGGCUGCCGCAGGCCCUGAAAACCAGUGGCGGGCUCGCUGUCACACCGGGCGUAGUAGAUUUUAUCUCGCUCAGGGCGUGCUGCGGGUUCCGGCCGUUAAAAAGCCUUUUUUACCCAAGGUUGACCUCGGAUCAGGUAGGAAGACCCGCUGAACUUAAGCAUAUCAAUAAGGAGGA
RNAcentral lists this unclassified non-coding RNA (334 nucleotides) under soil metagenome. Its description in RNAcentral is "partial contains 5.8S ribosomal RNA, internal transcribed spacer 2, and large subunit ribosomal RNA". The stretch from base 1 to 120 matches the Rfam family "5.8S ribosomal RNA", at positions 35 to 154 of the family's 154-position model. The record is from RNAcentral.